UACAGAGGGUGCGAGCGUUGUCCGGAAUCACUGGGCGUAAAGGGCGCGUAGGCGGCUUGAUAAGGUUGCGGUGAAAGCCCGGGGCUCAACCCCGGGUCGGCCGUGGCAACUGUCGAGCUGGAGCACUGUAGAGGCAGGUGGAAUUCCGGGUGUAGCGGUGGAAUGCGUAGAGAUCCGGAAGGACACCGGUGGCGAAGGCGGCCUGCUGGGCAGUGGCUGACGCUGAGGCGCGACAGCGUGGGGAGCAAACAGG
Molecule: ribosomal RNA, 253 nt
Filed under: uncultured bacterium
Lineage: Bacteria
Description: partial 16S ribosomal RNA
Rfam family: Bacterial small subunit ribosomal RNA
Source: RNAcentral